Molecule: ribosomal RNA, 252 nt
Filed under: uncultured Bacteroidales bacterium
Lineage: Bacteria; Pseudomonadati; Bacteroidota; Bacteroidia; Bacteroidales
Description: partial 16S ribosomal RNA
Rfam family: Bacterial small subunit ribosomal RNA
Source: RNAcentral
UACGUAGGUGGCGAGCGUUAUCCGGAUUUAUUGGGUUUAAAGGGUGCGUAGGCGGGCAUUUAAGCCGGCGGUCAAAUGUCGGGGCUCAACCCCGGCCUGCCGUCGGAACUGGGUGCCUUGAGUGGGCGAGAAGUAUGCGGAAUGCGUGGUGUAGCGGUGAAAUGCAUAGAUAUCACGCAGAACCCCGAUUGCGAAGGCAGCAUACCGGCGCCCUACUGACGCUGAGGCACGAAAGCGUGGGGAGCAAAUAGG